This 249-nucleotide ribosomal RNA is filed under the name uncultured prokaryote. RNAcentral describes it as "partial 16S ribosomal RNA". It matches the Rfam family "Bacterial small subunit ribosomal RNA", at positions 524 to 772 of the family's 1533-position model. The record is from RNAcentral.
CACGGAGGAUGCAAGCGCUAUCCGGAUUUAUUGGGUUUAAAGGGUGCGCAGGUUGUUUGAUAAGUCAGUGGUGAAAGUCUGUCGCUUAACGGUAGGAUUGCCAUUGAUACUGUUGGACUUGAAUAUGGAUGAGGUAGGCGGAAUGUGUAGUGUAGCGGUGAAAUGCAUAGAUAUUACACAGAACACCGAUUGCGAAGGCAGCUUACUAAUCCAUCAUUGACGCUGAGGCACGAAAGCGUGGGGAUCAAA